GACGAACCGAGCGAACGUUAUUCGGAAUCACUGGGCUUAAAGGGUGCGUAGGCGGGCUCGUUAGUCAGGGGUGAAAUCCCACGGCCCAACCGUGGAAGUGCCUCUGAUACUGCGGACCUUGAGGGGGAUAGGGGCGUGCGGAACCUCCGGUGGAGCGGUGAAAUGCGUAGAUAUCGGAAGGAACACCGGUGGCGAAAGCGGCGCGCUGGAUCCCUACUGACGCUGAGGCACGAAAGCCAGGGGAGCAAACGGG
This 253-nucleotide ribosomal RNA is filed under the name uncultured bacterium. RNAcentral describes it as "partial 16S ribosomal RNA". It matches the Rfam family "Bacterial small subunit ribosomal RNA", at positions 524 to 776 of the family's 1533-position model. The record is from RNAcentral.